CUGCUCCUACGGGGCGCAGCAGUGGGGAAUAUUGCACAAUGGGGGAAACCCUGAUGCAGCAACGCCGCGUGAGUGAAGAAGUCAUUCGUGAUGUAAAGCUCUCUCAGCAGGGAAGAAAAUGACGGUACCUGAGUAAGAAGCCCCGGCUAACUACGUGCCAGCAGCCGCGGUAAUACGUAGGGGGCAAGCGUUAUCCGGAUUUACUGGGUGUAAAGGGCGCGUAGGCGGGAUGGCAAGUCAGAUGUGAAAUCCAGGGGCUCAACCCCUGAACUGCAUUUGAAACUGUCGUUCUUGAGUACUGGAGA
Molecule: ribosomal RNA, 305 nt
Filed under: uncultured bacterium
Lineage: Bacteria
Description: bacterial SSU rRNA
Rfam family: Bacterial small subunit ribosomal RNA
Source: RNAcentral